Amaranthus tricolor (Joseph's coat) is the source of this 136-nucleotide small nuclear RNA. RefSeq annotates it as U4 spliceosomal RNA. Lineage: Eukaryota; Viridiplantae; Streptophyta; Magnoliopsida; Caryophyllales; Amaranthaceae. The transcript has a single exon. The record is from RefSeq and is a predicted model, not a curated record.
AUCUUUGCACUUGGCGCAAUGACGCAGCUAGUGAGGUAAUAUUCGAGGCGCGUCAAUUGCUGUUUGAAAAUUGAGAAUAUUAGUUCCACUUUUUCCAGUGAAAAGAUGGCCUUUAAAUUAAGUAAGGCUGUCAAGU